AGAGUUUGAUCCUGGCUCAGAAUCAACGCUGGCGGCGUGCCUAACACAUGCAAGUCGAACGCGAAAGUGGAGCAAUCCAUGAGUAGAGUGGCGAACGGGUGAGUAACACGUGGGUGACCUACCUUCGAAUGGGGGAUAACGUCCCGAAAGGGACGCUAAUACCGCAUAACAUCCUGCCUUUGAACAGGUGGAGAUCAAAGCCGGGGAUCGCAAGACCUGGCGUUUGAAGAGGGGCCCGCGUCUGAUUAGCUAGUUGGUGAGGUAACGGCCCACCAAGGCGACGAUCAGUAUCCGGCCUGAGAGGGCGGACGGACACACUGGGACUGAGACACGGCCCAGACUCCUACGGGAGGCAGCAGUGGGGAAUUGUUCGCAAUGGGCGCAAGCCUGACGACGCAACGCCGCGUGGAGGAUGAAGGUCUUCGGAUUGUAAACUCCUGUUGCCCGGGACGAAACGCUUCGACCUAACACGUCGAGGCUGACGUACCGGGUGAGAGCCCUGCU
Molecule: ribosomal RNA, 504 nt
Filed under: uncultured soil bacterium
Lineage: Bacteria
Description: bacterial SSU rRNA
Rfam family: Bacterial small subunit ribosomal RNA
Source: RNAcentral